Molecule: long non-coding RNA, 285 nt
Organism: Lagopus leucura (white-tailed ptarmigan)
Lineage: Eukaryota; Metazoa; Chordata; Aves; Galliformes; Phasianidae
Exons: 3
Source: RefSeq, a predicted model, not a curated record
AGGGUUACUUUAUUAAAAGUCAUGUUAGAGUGAAGAGGCAGUGGAGCCAUUUCAGCCCAUCUUCAAAAGAAACACCAUGAAAAUCUUCAGUCAAAAUCGCAAGGUUGUCAGGAAAAGGCUUUGGAUUCAGAUGUCUCUGUUAAAUCUUUUGGGUAUAGCCUCAGCCUCUGAGAUGAAGUACUCUGGCAAGAUGUUGGCCAUGAGAGAAGAAAAAUUAACAAAGACUCUGAAGAAUGGCAAACAGGUACUCUGGAUUGCAGAAUUCUGUAGUUGGGCUCUUAAGCU